AGAGUUUGAUCCUGGCUCAGGACGAACGCUGGCGGCGUGCCUAAUACAUGCAAGUCGAGCGAGCUUGCCUAGAUGAUUUUAGUGCUUGCACUAAAUGAAACUAGAUACAAGCGAGCGGCGGACGGGUGAGUAACACGUGGGUAACCUGCCCAAGAGACUGGGAUAACACCUGGAAACAGAUGCUAAUACCGGAUAACAACACUAGACGCAUGUCUAGAGUUUGAAAGAUGGUUCUGCUAUCACUCUUGGAUGGACCUGCGGUGCAUUAGCUAGUUGGUAAGGUAACGGCUUACCAAGGCAAUGAUGCAUAGCCGAGUUGAGAGACUGAUCGGCCACAUUGGGACUGAGACACGGCCCAAACUCCUACGGGAGGCAGCAGUAGGGAAUCUUCCACAAUGGACGAAAGUCUGAUGGAGCAACGCCGCGUGAGUGAAGAAGGGUUUCGGCUCGUAAAGCUCUGUUGGUAGUGAAGAAAGAUAGAGGUAGUAACUGGCCUUUAUUUGACGGUAAUUACUUAGAAAGUCACGGCUAACUACGUGCCAGCAGCCGCGGUAAUACGUAGGUGGCAAGCGUUGUCCGGAUUUAUUGGGCGUAAAGCGAGUGCAGGCGGUUCAAUAAGUCUGAUGUGAAAGCCUUCGGCUCAACCGGAGAAUUGCAUCAGAAACUGUUGAA
This 672-nucleotide ribosomal RNA is filed under the name uncultured bacterium. RNAcentral describes it as "bacterial SSU rRNA". It matches the Rfam family "Bacterial small subunit ribosomal RNA", at positions 8 to 640 of the family's 1533-position model. The record is from RNAcentral.